This is a long non-coding RNA of Saccostrea cuccullata (small rock oyster), 1411 nucleotides long. RefSeq lists it as uncharacterized. The transcript has 4 exons. NCBI's taxonomy places the organism in Eukaryota, Metazoa, Mollusca, Bivalvia, Ostreida, Ostreidae. The record is from RefSeq and is a predicted model, not a curated record.
CUGCACCGUAAAACGAAUGUUUGAGGAUGCUGGGAAAUGUUCAUUCGGAACGCAGCGGAAUUUAAACUGGUCCCCAUAUGAUACCAAUUUAUUGCGGGCAAUGGCUGCUCCGAGAACAUGUUUUCGAGGGUUUUCACCACAAGAGCAAAUUAUACAACUUUAUUCUUGAAAAUGUUAGAGACUGAGACUUGGAGUCAAAGUCAACAGACACGCUUGCAUGGACAUGAAGGAUGUAAAGAACUAGAGUAUUAUAACUGAAAGCAUUUUGUCUGGAUUUGUGUAUGGAAACAGAAGGAUUUAGUAUUGGUAUCCUGAAUUUUUGUCAACUUCUAGCCAAGAUCCUGUACUUAAGCUGAAUGUGGAGGACAGAUGUACACACAGUACUAGUAUAGAGGGUAUUAUCUCGGUACCUUAAAACUCCAAACGACAGGGAGAAGAAGAAAACUGCAUAUUUCCGAUGUAUCUUCACAGCAACAUGACCCAAAGCACUACCAUUAAAGGAUUUGAUUUGACAUUAAGGAAGUAAAAAAAUGAAGGCAUUAGUCAUAAAGAAAAUUAAAGAACUUUAUGUCUGAAUAUUAUAUCAACAAUACCAUAGAUCUAAAGAUGGAUUAUUUUGCCUAUUAAUUUAUAUUAAUGCAUAUACAUGUAAUUUUAUUCUUUUUAUAUAUACAAUCAUGUAGUGUUACCAUUUUUCACAAAGCUUAAAAAGUUAUGUAGGGCCACACCAAUUUAAUUUCUUGUUCGUCGGACAUUUGAUUUAAAAAAAGUACAAGCAGUUAAAUGAUAAUAUUAUUACUCUUUGCUGGGCAAUUUUUUAGGCGGAGCGUAAAAAUUUGAGCGGACAAUUAUAUUUUUUCUGAUUUACAGAGUAAGCAGAUAUAAAAUACAAUAAAUAGAGCGGAAAUGGAACAGAAAAUAGCACAGAAUUCCUAUGGUGCGAGAAAUUGAAAUUAAUAUUAUUUGUAUGGUUUUGUUUAAAUAAGCGCGUGGGUCCGACGAACAAAAAUUUUCAUUAGUGUGGCCUAGAUCAUUUAGAUUCAAUUCAUUUUUUAGCUCUACUGGUCAGAGACCAGAAGAGCUUAUGCGAUAGUAAUGCGUCCGGCGUCCGUCCGUCUGUCCGUCUGUCUGUCUGUCUGUCCGUCUGUCCGUCUGUCUGUAAACAAUUUUUCAAAAUGCUACUCCUCCUACAGUUUUGGUCUAAUUUCAAUAUAACUUGGCACACAAGUAGACUACACUAAGAUACAUAAUUCUGUGUAUCGGUUUUUGAUUUCGAUGAACGGUGUUGCCGUGGUUACUAAAAAUAGAAAUUUCUGUGAUAUUCUUUCAAAAUGCUACUCCUCCUACAGUUUUGGUCUGAUUUCAGUAUAACUUGGCACACAAGUAGACUACACUAAGAUACAUAAUUCUG